Long non-coding RNA from Gadus morhua (Atlantic cod), 447 nucleotides. RefSeq lists it as uncharacterized. The transcript has 3 exons. Lineage: Eukaryota; Metazoa; Chordata; Actinopteri; Gadiformes; Gadidae. The record is from RefSeq and is a predicted model, not a curated record.
UUGUCACAGCCAUCCCGUUCUCGUUCUCAUUAGCUCUUAAUUGUGUUCACCGGUGUCGCCCCGCACGUGCGGCGAUGCAUUAUUUUGCGAUGAUCCCAAACGCGUUUUAAAAUGAUCCCGCGGUUGCUUGUUUUUUUUGUGCGCUUUUGACUGAACAAUCCGGACAACGUGGCCACCAACGGGGGAGCGAGGACGCCGGCAUUGUUUGUCAAAUUCAGGGCUGGCGCUGGAAGCUGUAGGUGGAGGGAAGACCAGGAGUGGUGCAGCUCUGCAGAUGCUGAAGGUGUGCCAAAGGGUCCCGUGUGUUCCUGAAGGGACUGAGGCGACGCAGUCGGAGGUCCCUGCGGUGGCGGUCAGCGGGAGGUGUCGGGACCAACCAGCUCCUCGUCCAGGAAAGGGGAAUUCAUCAGACCGAUUAAAGGUUCAAUAAAGUAAAUCUUAUCAUCU